CUUCUUCGGGCUCUAGCCAGACUCUCCAGAGACAGGGUUGCAUUCCCUUUCCAGUAUGGUCCAUGGAAAACAUGCAGAGGAAAUGGCCCCACAGCAUUGGCUGAGUGUUUAUGUCAUCCAACCGAGUCUCCAUCGAACUGUUGUGGUGUUGCUGACUUGCCCUAGGUCACUUGAGUUAAAUGGGUUGGAUUCCCUUUCCAGUAUGGUCCAUGGAAAACAUGCAGAGGAAAUGGCCCCACAGCAUUGGCUGAGUGUUUAUGUCAUCCAACCGAGUCUCCAUCGAACUGUUGUGGUGUUGCUGACUUGCCCUAGGUCACUUGAGUUAAAUGGGUUGGAUUCCCUUUCCAGUAUGGUCCAUGGAAAACAUGCAGAGGAAAUGGCCCCACAGCAUUGGCUGAGUGUUUAUGUCAUCCAACCGAGUCUCCAUCGAACUGUUGUGGUGUUGCUGACUUGCCCUAGGUCACCUGAGUUAAAUGGGUUGCAUUCCCUUUCCAGUAUGGUCCAUGGACAACAUGCAGAGGAAAUGGCCCCACAGCAUUGGCUGAGUGUUUAUGUCGUCCAACCGAGUCUCCAUCGAACUGUUGUGGUGUUGCUGACUUGCCCUAGGUCACCUGAGUUAAAAGGGUUUCAUUCCCUUUCCAGUAUGGUUCAUGGAAAACGUGCAGAGGAAAUUGCCCCACAGCAUUGGCUGAGUGUUUAUGUCGUCCAACCGAGUCUCCAUCCAACUGUUGUGGUGUUGCUGACUUGCCCUAGGUCACCUGAGUUAAAAG
RNAcentral lists this long non-coding RNA (770 nucleotides) under Mus musculus (house mouse). Its description in RNAcentral is "small nucleolar RNA host gene 14". Lineage: Eukaryota; Metazoa; Chordata; Mammalia; Rodentia; Muridae. The record is from RNAcentral.